Thunnus maccoyii (southern bluefin tuna) is the source of this 887-nucleotide long non-coding RNA. RefSeq lists it as uncharacterized. The record is from RefSeq and is a predicted model, not a curated record. NCBI's taxonomy places the organism in Eukaryota, Metazoa, Chordata, Actinopteri, Scombriformes, Scombridae. The transcript has 3 exons.
AGAUGGAUGUGGCAACGGUGAUAGUGGAGGUGAUAAUGAUAGUAGCACCAAGAACCCGACGGGGAAAACUGGGAGACAGAGGAUUUCUCCCUGUUGGGCAGCAUUGACAGUCAUGGCAAAAUGUGCCAGUUAAGGUUAUUCUCUAUGGGGGAGGCUGAAGAAGAGAAUGGUACAUCAACAGCUGAGGCAGAGGCUCGGGGGCAAGACGAGUGAUGACGUGAUAAAGUCAGGACAAAGAGCGAGGCAGAAAUGUGAUCAACAGGAUAACAGUGUGCUUCUCUAAUGCAGCAACAGGGAAUCAGCGCCCUCCUACACAUCUUCUCCAACUCCAAUAAAAACCCGAGCAAACACAUGUCUGCUUUAGAGCAUACACACAUGUAAACCACCACUAAGAUGUGUCUUUGUUUCUCUCCAUCCCUGUUUGGUCCUUGUUAUGUUUCGAUGUGGCUGACGCCCAACAUUUCCAUGUAUCCUCUUCCAAAGUUUCACUCCACCUCAUUUUGUUUUUAUUCUCUCCUCUCUAUUAAGCUCUCUUGCUUCGUAUUUCUGUGUGUGUGUGUGUGUGUGCGUGUCUGAAGAAACCUCUCCAAAUCUCGAGACAGAGAUCCUUGACCAGCUCUGAUCCCUGCCUGGGGCCGACAGGAUGAGAGUGGAGAGAAAGAAGUGGAAGAAAGAAGCAAGAUUGAAAUUUUAAUAGGCUAAAGGGACUCAAGUCUUUUUCUUUAAUAGCUGUCUCCCAUAUAUCUCUAACCCCUCUUAUCAAAACAUUUAUUCUAGCUGGACUGUUACUUCUCCUCUUUCUCUGACACCAUCUGUUUUUGUUUUAUAUGUGACUCUUCACUCGCCAGAACACUUUGUGCUUUUGCAAUGGUAUGGAGAAUAUUAAA